Molecule: ribosomal RNA, 465 nt
Filed under: uncultured bacterium
Lineage: Bacteria
Description: partial 16S ribosomal RNA
Rfam family: Bacterial small subunit ribosomal RNA
Source: RNAcentral
GCGGCGUGCUUCAUACAUGCAAGUCGAACGAGAAGCAGGAGCUUGCUCCUGUGGAAAGUGGCGGACGGGUGAGUAACACGUAGGAAAUCUGCCUUUGGGUGGGGGACAACAGUUGGAAACGACUGCUAAUACCCCAUAUGAGCUUGGUUGCAAUACCAAUCUUGAAAACUCCGGUGCCUAAAGAUGAGCCUGCGUCUGAUUAGCUUGUUGGCGGGGUAAUGGCCCACCAAGGCGACGAUCAGUAGCUGGUUUGAGAGGAUGAUCAGCCACAAUGGGACUGAGACACGGCCCAUACUCCUACGGGAGGCAGCAGUAGGGAAUUGUGCGCAAUGGGGGAAACCCUGACGCAGCAACGCCGCGUGAAUGACGAAGCCCUUCGGGGUGUAAAGUUCUGUCAGUAGGGAAGAAUUUUGACUGUACCUACAAAGGAAGCACCGGCUAACUCCGUGCCAGCCGCCGCCGUAA